UACGUAGGGACCAAGCGUUGUUCGGAUUUACUGGGCGUAAAGGGCGCGUAGGCGGCAAUUCAAGUCAUCUGUGAAAUCUCCGGGCUUAACUCGGAACGGUCAACUGAUACUGCGCGGCUAGAGUGCAGAAGGGGCAACUGGAAUUCUCGGUGUAGCGGUGAAAUGCGUAGAUAUCGAGAGGAACACCUGCGGCGAAGGCGGGUUGCUGGGCUGACACUGACGCUGAUGCGCGAAAGCCAGGGGAGCGAACGGG
Molecule: ribosomal RNA, 253 nt
Filed under: uncultured bacterium
Lineage: Bacteria
Description: partial 16S ribosomal RNA
Rfam family: Bacterial small subunit ribosomal RNA
Source: RNAcentral